Molecule: ribosomal RNA, 412 nt
Filed under: uncultured Corynebacterium sp.
Lineage: Bacteria; Bacillati; Actinomycetota; Actinomycetes; Mycobacteriales; Corynebacteriaceae
Description: bacterial SSU rRNA
Rfam family: Bacterial small subunit ribosomal RNA
Source: RNAcentral
GUGCCAGCCGCCGCGGUAAUACGUAGGGUGCGAGCGUUGUCCGGAAUUACUGGGCGUAAAGAGCUCGUAGGUGGUUUGUUGCGUCGUCUGUGAAAUUCCGGGGCUUAACUUCGGGGUGGCAGGCGAUACGGGCAUAACUAGAGUGCUGUAGGGGAGACUGGAAUUCCUGGUGUAGCGGUGGAAUGCGCAGAUAUCAGGAGGAACACCGAUGGCGAAGGCAGGUCUCUGGGCAGUAACUGACGCUGAGGAGCGAAAGCAUGGGGAGCGAACAGGAUUAGAUACCCUGGUAGUCCAUGCUGUAAACGGUGGGCGUUAGGUGUGGGGACCGGUUUGGUUUCUGUGCCGUAGCUAACGCAUUAAGCGCCCCGCCUGGGGAGUACGGCCGCAAGGCUAAAACUCAAAGAAAUUGCGG